GGGGGGAAGGGGGCUUGCUCCUGAAUCAGCGGCGGACGGGUGAGUAAUGCCUAGGAAUCUGCCUGGUAGUGGGGGACAACGUUUCGAAAGGAACGCUAAUACCGCAUACGUCCUACGGGAGAAAGUGGGGGAUCUUCGGACCUCACGCUAUCAGAUGAGCCUAGGUCGGAUUAGCUAGUUGGUGAGGUAAAGGCUCACCAAGGCGACGAUCCGUAACUGGUCUGAGAGGAUGAUCAGUCACACUGGAACUGAGACACGGUCCAGACUCCUACGGGAGGCAGCAGUGGGGAAUAUUGGACAAUGGGCGAAAGCCUGAUCCAGCCAUGCCGCGUGUGUGAAGAAGGUCUUCGGAUUGUAAAGCACUUUAAGUUGGGAGGAAGGGCAGUAAGUUAAUACCUUGCUGUUUUGACGUUACCAACAGAAUAAGCACCGGCUAACUUCGUGCCAGCAGCCGCGGUAAUACGAAGGGUGCAAGCGUUAAUCGGAAUUACUGGGCGUAAAGCGCGCGUAGGUGGUUCGUUAAGUUGGAUGUGAAAGCCCCGGGCUCAACCUGGGAACUGCAUCCAAAACUGGCGAGCUAGAGUAUGGCAGAGGGUGGUGGAAUUUCCUGUGUAGCGGUGAAAUGCGUAGAUAUAGGAAGGAACACCAGUGGCGAAGGCGACCACCUGGGCUAAUACUGACACUGAGGUGCGAAAGCGUGAGGAGCAAACAGGAUUAGAUACCCUGGUAGUCCACGCCGUAAACGAUGUCGACUAGCCGUUGGGAUCCUUGAGAUCUUAGUGGCGCAGCUAACGCAUUAAGUCGACCGCCUGGGGAGUACGGCCGCAAGGUUAAAACUCAAAUGAAUUGACGGGGGGCCCGCACAAGCGGUGGAGCAUGUGGUUUAAUUCGAAGCAACGCGAAGAACCUUACCAGGCCUUGACAUGCAGAGAACUUUCCAGAAGAUGGAUUGUUGCCUUCGGGAACUCUUUACCAAGGUGCUGCAUGGCCUGUCGUUCAGCUCUUGUCCUUGAUAUGUUGGGGUUAAGUCCCGGA
RNAcentral lists this ribosomal RNA (1035 nucleotides) under Arthrobacter sp. SW03. RNAcentral describes it as "bacterial SSU rRNA". It matches the Rfam family "Bacterial small subunit ribosomal RNA", at positions 66 to 1091 of the family's 1533-position model. Lineage: Bacteria; Bacillati; Actinomycetota; Actinomycetes; Micrococcales; Micrococcaceae. The record is from RNAcentral.